GUGUUCGCUUCCACAGCACAUAUACUAAAAUUAGAAUGAUACCGAGAUUAGCACAGCCCCUGUGCAAUGACACAAAAAAAAUACUUUCUUUUGUU
Molecule: small nuclear RNA, 95 nt
Organism: Ochotona princeps (American pika)
Lineage: Eukaryota; Metazoa; Chordata; Mammalia; Lagomorpha; Ochotonidae
Source: Ensembl